Grammomys surdaster is the source of this 256-nucleotide long non-coding RNA. RefSeq lists it as uncharacterized. The transcript is spliced from 3 exons. The record is from RefSeq and is a predicted model, not a curated record. NCBI's taxonomy places the organism in Eukaryota, Metazoa, Chordata, Mammalia, Rodentia, Muridae.
GAGGGCUGCAGUCUAGAGAAGACGAAACCAAUCUUUCCUAGUUCUCUUGAUGCUAUAAAGGCAGCCCUGUCAACAUUAGAUGAUUGGCAGCUACAGUUUGAAGAUGGAGAAACUGAGGCAAUGUGCAUUUAACUUGCUCAAGAUUCUUGCUGUCAAGUGUCCAUGGUGAUUCUCAUCUGCCCCAAAAAUCAAUGCCUUGUUCAGCUACCAUUAACGAAGGUUCAUCCAGAAGCAGCUGAAAACAAAUAUAGAGACC